RNAcentral lists this long non-coding RNA (1828 nucleotides) under Marmota monax (woodchuck). Lineage: Eukaryota; Metazoa; Chordata; Mammalia; Rodentia; Sciuridae. The record is from RNAcentral.
UUUUUUUUUAAGAGCGAGAGAGAAUUUUUAUUUAUUUAUUUAUUUUAGUUUUCCGUGGACACAACAUCUUUGUUUGUAUGUGGUGCUGAGAAUUGAACCCGGGCCGCAUGCAUACCAGGCAAGCACGCUACCGCUUGAGCCACAUCCCCAGCCCAACUUUGUGGUACUUUUUAGGAAAAUUUUCUGCACAUCUCUUAGUUUUCUAUAAAACUUUUUGCACAACAGUCAAAACCUCAGCUAACAGUAGAACAAGUAAAUUUCAUGUUUCUUUUACAACUAGAAAUUGAAUAUAGCCAGGUAUUAACAUGCUCUGGCUCUGAAGUCCUUGGUCCUGGACCACAGUAUUGAUUCUAUGACAAUAUGAUGAGUACUUUUGGCCUUGGGACAGUUGACUGGUAGUUAGGAUGAUGAACAGCAUGGUGACCUUAUAGAAUGUCAUGUAUAUUUCUACUUCUCAGGUAUUAGUAUCAGACAUAUGUGCACAGGGCAGUAAGUAUGAGAAAAAAGGUAAAAUAGAUGAUAAUUUUAUUCCCAUUACCAUAUCCCUUACAAAGCAUCUGUUUGGGUAAAUAGUUAGUCCAAAACAAAGUGAAUUGAGUUUAUGGAUUAGGGAGUUUAGAACCUAUACAUUCCUUGAGAAGUUAUUUGAUUUCCUAAAGAUCUCUCUACAGGUAAUAGGAAAAGCCUCACAGGCUCAGGAUCAGUUCUGUUCAGCAUCAAAGGAUAGCAUUGCCUUGUUGAACAGAGCUGGCUGUGCAAGCAGGGAGACAGUAGAGGAAAAUAAAAUGAACCGUGCAUUGCUGAACUUGAUGCAGCUGUCUUGUAACUAGCUAGUGACCUUAGGCAAGUCCCUUCUUUGUAACAACUGUAGCAAAAGCUUAUUGGCAAUUAGGAAUCAAGUAUUAAACCAAGUGCUUUGUAGACAUCCUUUUGGGCCCUCAGAACACCCCUCUGCAGUAUAAAUUGUUACCUCGUUUUGCAAAUGAAGAUGUUUAGGAAAGGGUUCAAUGCCCUGUCCCAGGUUCCUGAACUGGUAAGUAGUGGUGCUGGAAUUUUUUUCUUUUCAUCCAUGAACUCAGGUACCAUCGAUCUCUAGUCUGCUAUGCUAAAAUGAAGAAAGGAGCAGAAAAACAAAAAUUGGGUGAGAAGAGAAAGGAGAUGAUUCUUCUAGUAGGUGAGAAGGGGAAAAGGAAGUUUUUAGAGAACAGGAUUUACAGGAGUUGAGAAUAAUGGGAAAGGUAGGGAAAGAUUAAAGUAGAAGGUGGGUAUGUUGGUAUGUUUCUAUCUAGAAAGAAACACCCCAGGUGGAAAAGGAUAUUUUAUGCCCUUUGCAAGUCAUUUUUUUUUCCCUCUCAUUCAUUCUCUGCACCUAAUAGCUCACCAAAUCCUAAAUUUCUUUUGAUUGUUUUCCCAUUGUAGUUGCAUUGCACUUGGUCCUCAUCAUCUCUGCACCUCCACCCCCGGCCCCUAGCAACCAUCUAUUUCCAGGCACAAACCACUAAUGUUCGGCUUCCACAUGAGUUUCAAGGGUAUUGAUUCUAGCUUGGCUCUUGUGUCAUUUCUCUGGCAUUUCCCCCUGAUUCUUAAUCAUAUAUUCACUAUGCACUAGAGUUAACUACUUAUUGUCCCUACAAUAAGCCAUNGAUGGGGCCAUAGGUUUUUUCCUGAGGGCCAAAUACUGGCUGGCCUCGUGGUCAUAAUAGGCAUCAUAAAUAAAAACAAUUGGCAAGCAUCCCACUGCUGACUAUAAUGCCUCUUAAAUGCUUUUAGGAACUAGCAUUGUAGUGCCCUGCCACAGUGGGCAGCCAACCAAAGCAACUCAUCCAUC